GAUGAACGCUGGCGGCGUGCCUAAUACAUGCAAGUCGAGCGAACAGACGAGGAGCUUGCUCCUCUGACGUUAGCGGUGGACGGGUGAGUAACACGUGGAUAACCUACCUAUAAGACUGGGAUAACUUCGGGAAACCGGAGCUAAUACCGGAUAACAUGUUGAACCGCAUGGUUCAACAGUGAAAGACGGUCUUGCUGUCACUUAUAGAUGGAUCCGCGCCGCAUUAGCUAGUUGGUAAGGUAACGGCUUACCAAGGCAACGAUGCGUAGCCGACCUGAGAGGGUGAUCGGCCACACUGGAACUGAGACACGGUCCAGACUCCUACGGGAGGCAGCAGUAGGGAAUCUUCCGCAAUGGGCGAAAGCCUGACGGAGCAACGCCGCGUGAGUGAAGAAGGUCUUCGGAUCGUAAAACUCUGUUAUUAGGGAAGAACAAAUGUGUAAGUAACUAUGCACGUCUUGACGGUACCUAAUCAGAAAGCCACGGCUAACUACGUGCCAGCAGCCGCCGCCG
This 513-nucleotide ribosomal RNA is filed under the name uncultured bacterium. Its description in RNAcentral is "partial 16S ribosomal RNA". It matches the Rfam family "Bacterial small subunit ribosomal RNA", at positions 28 to 523 of the family's 1533-position model. The record is from RNAcentral.